RNAcentral lists this ribosomal RNA (482 nucleotides) under uncultured bacterium. RNAcentral describes it as "bacterial SSU rRNA". It matches the Rfam family "Bacterial small subunit ribosomal RNA", at positions 28 to 523 of the family's 1533-position model. The record is from RNAcentral.
GACGAACGCUGGCGGCGUGCUUAACACAUGCAAGUCGAACGAGGUCCAUGGAGCUUGCUCCGGAAGACCUAGUGGCGAACGGGUGCGUAACACGUGAGAAACCUGCCCUGGACUUGGGAAUAACAGUCGGAAACGACUGCUAAUACCGAAUACCUUCGCACCGUCGCAUGGCGGAGCGAAGAAAGCUCUUGCGGUCUGGGAGGGUCUCGCGGCCUAUCAGCUUGUUGGUGAGGUAACGGCUCACCAAGGCAUCGACGGGUAGCUGGUCUGAGAGGAUGAUCAGCCACACUGGGACUGAGACACGGCCCAGACUCCUACGGGAGGCAGCAGUGGGGAAUAUUGCACAAUGGGCGCAAGCCUGAUGCAGCAACGCCGCGUGCGGGAUGAAGGCCCCUAGGGUUUGUAAACCGCUUUCAGCAGGGAGAAAAUGACGGUACCUGCAGAAGAAGGUGCGGCCAACUACGUGCCAGCAGCCGCGGUAA